GACGAACGCUGGCGGCGUGCCUAAUACAUGCAAGUUGAGCGCUGAAGGUUGGUACUUGUACCAACUGGAUGAGCAGCGAACGGGUGAGUAACGCGUGGGGAAUCUGCCUUUGAGCGGGGGACAACAUUUGGAAACGAAUGCUAAUACCGCAUAAAAACUUUAAACACAAGUUUUAAGUUUGAAAGAUGCAAUUGCAUCACUCAAAGAUGAUCCCGCGUUGUAUUAGCUAGUUGGUGAGGUAAAGGCUCACCAAGGCGAUGAUACAUAGCCGACCUGAGAGGGUGAUCGGCCACAUUGGGACUGAGACACGGCCCAAACUCCUACGGGAGGCAGCAGUAGGGAAUCUUCGGCAAUGGGCGGAAGUCUGACCGAGCAACGCCGCGUGAGUGAAGAAGGUUUUCGGGUCGUAAAACUCUGUUGGUAGAGAAGAACGUUGGUGAGAGUGGAAAGCUCAUCAAGUGACGGUAACUACCCAGAAAGGGACGGCUAACUACGUG
This 497-nucleotide ribosomal RNA is filed under the name uncultured bacterium. Its description in RNAcentral is "partial 16S ribosomal RNA". It matches the Rfam family "Bacterial small subunit ribosomal RNA", at positions 28 to 507 of the family's 1533-position model. The record is from RNAcentral.